UGGGGAAUUUUGGACAAUGGGCGCAAGCCUGAUCCAGCAAUGCCGCGUGCAGGAUGAAGGCCUUCGGGUUGUAAACUGCUUUUGUACGGAACGAAACGGCUCUGUCUAAUACAUGGGGCUAAUGACGGUACCGUAAGAAUAAGCCCCGGCUAACUACUUGCCAGCACCCGCGGUAAUACGUAGGGUGCAAGCGUUAAUCGGAAUUACUGGGCGUAAAGCGUGCGCAGGCGGUUAUGCAAGACAGAUGUGAACUCCCCGGGCUCAACCUGGGAACUGAAUUUGUGACUGCGUAGCUGGAGUGCGGAAGAGGGGGAUGGAAUUCCGCGGGUAGCAGUGAAAUGCGUAGAUAUGCGGAGGAACACCGAUGGCGAAGGCAAUCCCCUGGGCAUGCACUGACGCUCAUGCACGAAAGCGUGGGGAGCAAACA
This 427-nucleotide ribosomal RNA is filed under the name uncultured bacterium. RNAcentral's name for it is "bacterial SSU rRNA". It matches the Rfam family "Bacterial small subunit ribosomal RNA", at positions 355 to 774 of the family's 1533-position model. The record is from RNAcentral.